GUCCUAAGAUGAGCUCAACGAGAACAUAAAUCUCAUGUGGAACAGAAGGGUAAAAGCUCAUUUGAUUUUGAUUUCCAGUACGAAUACGAACCGUGAAAGCGUGGCCUAACGAUCCUUUAGACCUUUGGAAUUUGAAGCUAGAGGUGUCAGAAAAGUUACCAUAGGGAUAACUGGCUUGUGGCAGCCAAGUGUUCAUAGUGAAGUUUUUUGAUCUUUCGAUGUCGACUCUUCCUAUCAUUGUGAAGCAGAAUUCACCACGUGUUGGAUUGUUCACCCACCAAUAGGGAAUGUGAGCUAGGUUUAGACUGUCGUGAGAUAGGUUAGUUUUACCCUACUGAUGAUAGUGUUGUAAUAGUAGUUCAACCUAGUAUGAGAGGAACUGUUGAUUCGCACAAUUGGUUAUUGCGCUUGGUUGAAAAGCCAGGGGCGCGAAGCUGCCGUGUGCUGGAUUAUGACUAAACGCCUCUAAGUCAGAAUCCAGGCUAGAAGCGACACAUGCGCCCACCGCCCACUUGCCGACCCGCAGUAGGGGCCGUCCGGCCCCCAAAGGCACGUGUCCUUGGUGAAGCCCGCGCGGUGGAUGAGCCACGCGUGCCACCUUGAAGUACAAUUCCUAUCUCGGGCGGCGGGUAGAAUCCUUUGCAGAAGACUUAAAUACACGACGAGGUAUUAUAAGUGGCAGAGUGGCCUUACUGCCACGAUCCACUGAGAU
This 712-nucleotide ribosomal RNA is filed under the name Camellia sinensis. Its description in RNAcentral is "eukaryotic LSU rRNA". It matches the Rfam family "Eukaryotic large subunit ribosomal RNA", at positions 2660 to 3377 of the family's 3401-position model. Lineage: Eukaryota; Viridiplantae; Streptophyta; Magnoliopsida; Ericales; Theaceae. The record is from RNAcentral.